RNAcentral lists this ribosomal RNA (254 nucleotides) under uncultured bacterium. RNAcentral describes it as "partial 16S ribosomal RNA". It matches the Rfam family "Bacterial small subunit ribosomal RNA", at positions 524 to 776 of the family's 1533-position model. The record is from RNAcentral.
UACGGAGGGAGCUAGCGUUGUUCGGAAUUACUGGGCGUAAAGCGCACGUAGGCGGCUUUGUAAGUUAGAGGUGAAAGCCCGGGGCUCAACUCCGGAACUGCCUUUAAGACUGCAUCGCUUGAAUCCAGGAGAGGUGAGUGGAAUUCCGAGUGUAGAGGUGAAAAUUCGUAGAUAUUCGGAAGAACACCAGUGGCGAAGGCGGCUCACUGGACUGGUAUUGACGCUGAGGUGCGAAAGCGUGGGGAGCAAACAGG